This is a long non-coding RNA of Hemicordylus capensis (graceful crag lizard), 929 nucleotides long. RefSeq lists it as uncharacterized. The transcript is spliced from 4 exons. The record is from RefSeq and is a predicted model, not a curated record. NCBI's taxonomy places the organism in Eukaryota, Metazoa, Chordata, Lepidosauria, Squamata, Cordylidae.
CCGUGGCAGGGCUGGGCGGGUAGAUGGAAGUCCUGGCGAGGAGGAGCUGCGGUGUCGCCAGUCAACUGCCCAGCCCUCGAGGUUCGGCGACGCCCGCCACCGCCCGCGUCUCUUCCACUCCCUUCAGUUCGGAACUCCUCCUCCGCAGGCGGGGAGGCGGCGGCGGCGAGCGCCGGCCGCGUGGGCAUAGCGGCUUGGCUUGGCUUCCCUAGCCAGCGUCCCUGGCUAUUCUAGGCAAGCAAAUCAGGCCGAGCGACUAGGAGGCUUACCAGACCAAUGAGAACUAUUUGAAGCCACUGAAAGGGGGACUUUACCUUUAAGUUGGACGACGCCCGGAUUUCUUCUCAACUGUACAUUGCUCCGAAGGGAGUAGCCAAUGUUUAUAAGGCCCUACUGAGACCUCUUUCGAGUGAGGUGAUAAAACUGAUGGUGCCAGUUCAGGAUGCAACUAAGGAUCAUCACAUGCUUGAAUUGCAGCUUAUACAAUUUUAGGAACUAUUUGCAUGUGCAGCAUGGCAACAGUCCCACUGUGUAUCCAUAUGGGCCGCCACCACUGGAGCCAUGCAUUUGGUGAACACCCACGGAGUGGAUGCCAGCGCGAAGGGGAGGGCGCGGAACAGCGAUGAACCAUCAAGAGAAGAUCUUCCACUCUGGAUCUAGCAUCGGGUGUCAGUCCAGAAGAUCUGAGCCAGGCGUGGCGGCGAAGAGCGACUGAGGAUGCCAUCACCUUAGAGGCGCCUUCUGUUAAGUGAUGAAUUGCAUGAAGUUCUUGUUUCAAGACCUGCGUAGCUUCAUGGAGGAAAACUUUAGCUGGACCUUGUUGUUCCUCAGGCAAAUGGUCCAGGAAGGAAGCAACAUGGUCCCACAGAAAAGACUGGUAUCUGGUGUAGUAAGCCUGAUAGUUUGCAAUUCUGGUCAAUAAAGAUGAA